Molecule: small nuclear RNA, 112 nt
Organism: Artibeus jamaicensis (Jamaican fruit-eating bat)
Lineage: Eukaryota; Metazoa; Chordata; Mammalia; Chiroptera; Phyllostomidae
Source: RefSeq, a predicted model, not a curated record
GUGCUCAUUUCAGUAGCAUGUAUACCAAAAUUGGAAUAAUACAUAGAAGAUUAGCAUGUCCCCUGCACAUUGUACAUUGACUUUUGUACCCUGUGAAUUUACUGUAUCUGUU